Molecule: ribosomal RNA, 758 nt
Filed under: uncultured bacterium
Lineage: Bacteria
Description: bacterial SSU rRNA
Rfam family: Bacterial small subunit ribosomal RNA
Source: RNAcentral
AGAGUUUGAUCCUGGCUCAGAAUCAACGCUGGCGGCGCGCCUAACACAUGCAAGUCGAACGAGAAAGCAGGAGCAAUCUUGUGAGUAAAGUGGCGUACGGGUGAGUAACACGUGGAUCAUCUACCUUCUAGUGGGGGAUAACCCUGGGAAACCGGGGCUAAUACCGCAUAAGUCCGAGAGGAGAAAGCAGCAAUGCGCUGGAAGAGGAGUCCGCGGCCGAUUAGUUAGUUGGCAGGGUAAAAGCCUACCAAGACAAAGAUCGGUAGCCGGCCUGAGAGGGCACACGGCCACACUGGCACUGAAACACGGGCCAGACUCCUACGGGAGGCAGCAGUGGGGAAUCUUGCACAAUGGGGGCAACCCUGAUGCAGCGACGCCGCGUGAGCGAUGAAGCCCUUCGGGGUGUAAAGCUCUUUCGGCAGGGAAGAUUAUGACGGUACCUGCAGAAGCAGCUGCGGCUAACUACGUGCCAGCAGCCGCGGUAAUACGUAGGCAGCAAGCGUUGUUCGGAGUUACUGGGCGUAAAGGGUGUGUAGGCGGUCUUCUAAGUUUGGUGUGAAAUCUCCCGGCUCAACUGGGAGGGUGCGCCGAAAACUGGGAGGCUAGAGUACUGGAUGGGAGAGUGGAAUUCCUGGUGUAGCGGUGAAAUGCGUAGAUAUCAGGAGGAACACCUGUGGUGUAGACGGCUCUCUGGACAGUAACUGACGCUGAGACACGAAAGCGUGGGUAGCAAACAGGAUUAGAUACCCUAGUAGUCC